RNAcentral lists this ribosomal RNA (253 nucleotides) under uncultured bacterium. Its description in RNAcentral is "partial 16S ribosomal RNA". It matches the Rfam family "Bacterial small subunit ribosomal RNA", at positions 524 to 776 of the family's 1533-position model. The record is from RNAcentral.
UACGUAGGGUGCGAGCGUUGUCCGGAAUUAUUGGGCGUAAAGAGCUCGUAGGUGGUCUGUCACGUCGGAUGUGAAAACUCGGGGCUCAACCCCGAGCCUGCAUUCGAUACGGGCAGACUAGAGUUCGGUAGGGGAGACUGGAAUUCCUGGUGUAGCGGUGAAAUGCGCAGAUAUCAGGAGGAACACCGGUGGCGAAGGCGGGUCUCUGGGCCGAUACUGACACUGAGGAGCGAAAGCGUGGGGAGCGAACAGG